Molecule: non-coding RNA, 226 nt
Organism: Pelobates cultripes (western spadefoot toad)
Lineage: Eukaryota; Metazoa; Chordata; Amphibia; Anura; Pelobatidae
Source: the annotation of a GenBank genome assembly
GAAGGGGUGACUAGUGGCAGAGUGAGGGAAGGAAGGGGUGACUAGUGGCAGAGUGAGGAAGGGGGUGACACAGUGACAGAGUGAAGGAGGUGGUGACUGUUACUAGUCACCCCAUCCCUCCCUCUGUCACUAAUCACCACCUCCCUCACUCUGUCACUAGUCACCCCAUCCCUCCCUCUGUCACUAGUCACCACCUCCCUCACUCUGUCACUAGUCACCCCCUCUC